This 1415-nucleotide long non-coding RNA is filed under the name Junco hyemalis (dark-eyed junco). Its description in RNAcentral is "lncRNA (ENSJHYG00000002712.1)". The record is from RNAcentral. Lineage: Eukaryota; Metazoa; Chordata; Aves; Passeriformes; Passerellidae.
ACACAGGGUCUCUUGUGUACAGAGCUGGCCUGAGCUGGAGAAUUCCUGCAGCAGCGUCAUGGAAAACACCACUUGCCACAGCACAGAACGAGAGAAAGAAGAAAAGAGGCGCCACCAAGGAUCAGGACAGCGCCUGUGGGGCGGUGUGGGAGCCACAAAGGGAAGGAAAGCAGAGGCUCCUGCAGCAGCAGCAGAGCCCAGCUGGCCCCUGUCCCUCCCGUGGAGCUCCACAGGAGCUCUGAGCCACGUGAGGCAGCCAGCCCAGGCUUUGGCAAGGCAGGAUGCUGUGCUGGGGUUAUUAGCAGGUUCCCAUAGCACUGCCCUCCCCAGGCAUCCUCCCCUGCCCACGCUGGCCUGCCUGGCACAGGCUGCUGGGCAUUCACCAGGAGCUCCGUCCCUAUUUCAGCCCCCAGCGCAAACACCACCGUGAAUCUUUGAGUAAACAGGCAGGCACUGGAGGGGAGGGAAGGAUUAAAAACUCCGAAUAAUGACUGAAAUGUCAGACAUUUAUUAUUAAGUCAGUCCUGAUGUUGACAGCUGAACAUUCAAUAUUAAAAGCAUCCUUGAUCAUAAAAGCCAAAGGCAAACCUGAUUCUUAAAUAUCCCAGUUGUUCUUUUUUGACCUAGUUUUUGAUGUCUUAAGGAGGAAAUAAAAUUUUGGAAAAUAUUUACAGACAUGGGAAACGCGGGAUUUCAUCACGGCUGGUGACUCCAUGGAUCUGCCUGGGGCAAGGACAGCAAUUAAAGAGCAGGAGGGCAAACAGGUCUCACAUUUCCCUUUGCAGAGGCAGGGCUGGAAGAGCAGGAAGUCACCAAGUCUCAGCGAGAGGCUUAGAGGGGCUCCGGUGGCUUUCAGGAUGUUCAAGGAGUGGUUAUGAGCGAGGCUGAGGUUUGACAGGCUUUGCCAGGAGCUAGAAAGGUGAAAUGAUCAGUGUUGUGUUGUGUGGCAGUGAAGCAGAAAUGCCAAAGAACUGCUCUGAAUAAUGCAUAGUCUUUGUGGGUCAAAGUCUCCUAUAAGAAGGGCUGGUGGAAAAGGCUGGAUGGAAUUUACCCCAAGCAUCGGAUUUUGGGGGUGGCCAGGCCCUCAGAUCCCCCAGCAGAACUACCCAAACUACCAAAAAUGCCCAAAUUUUGGUGCUGGAUGUGAGGGAGCUGGGAGGAUCCGAGGGGAUGGCAUCAGUUUUGUGGCACUUCACAUCUCCACACACCUCUCAUGGUCACGGUGCCCUUGGGAGCUGCACAGCUCUGUUCUCUUGAUGAAGGACAUAUUGUGCUGGAAUCACAGUGCUUGGCUGGCUGGAUCUUUGGGGCUAAACCAGCCAUUCCUAUGUACUCAUUUAAAUUUCAUUGAUUUUUCUAAAGAAUUAUUUCUCCCUCGACGGUCUAGAAAUAAAACCUCUUGCCCUGACUGGCUC